This 76-nucleotide transfer RNA is filed under the name Bacillota bacterium. Its description in RNAcentral is "tRNA-Val". It matches the Rfam family "tRNA". From Rfam's summary of the family: Transfer RNA (tRNA) molecules are approximately 80 nucleotides in length. Their secondary structure includes four short double-helical elements and three loops (D, anti-codon, and T loops). Further hydrogen bonds mediate the characteristic L-shaped molecular structure. tRNAs have two regions of fundamental functional importance: the anti-codon, which is responsible for specific mRNA codon recognition, and the 3' end, to which the tRNAs corresponding amino acid is attached (by aminoacyl-tRNA synthetases). tRNAs cope with the degeneracy of the genetic code in two manners: having more than one tRNA (with a specific anti-codon) for a particular amino acid; and 'wobble' base-pairing, i.e. permitting non-standard base-pairing at the 3rd anti-codon position. RNAcentral also lists the same sequence under 7 other names. The record is from RNAcentral. Lineage: Bacteria; Bacillati; Bacillota.
GGUGGCAUGGCUCAGUCGGUAGAGCACAUCGUUCACAUCGAUGGGGUCGUUGGUUCGAGUCCAACUGUCACCACCA